CGGAGGGUGCAAGCAUUGAUCGGAAUUACUGGGCGUAAAGGGCGCGUAGGCGGCUUUGAAAGUCAGAUGUGAAAUUCUGGGGCUCAACCCCAGAGCUGCAUUUGAAACUCCAGAGCUUAGAGGAUGGUGAGGGAAAACGGAAUUCCACGUGUAGCGGUGAAAUGCGUAGAUAUGUGGAAGAACACCAGUGGUGAAGACGGUUUUCUGUGCCAAACCAGACGCUGAAGCGCGAAAGCUAGGGGGGCAAACAGGAUUAGAUACCCUGGUAGUCCUAGCCAUAAACGAUGCAUACUAGAUGUAGGAAGGCUCAACCCUUUCUGUAUCGGAGCUAACGCGUUAAGUAUGCCGCCUGGGGAGUACGCUCGCAAGGGUG
Molecule: ribosomal RNA, 373 nt
Filed under: uncultured organism
Description: bacterial SSU rRNA
Rfam family: Bacterial small subunit ribosomal RNA
Source: RNAcentral